Molecule: long non-coding RNA, 350 nt
Filed under: Carica papaya (papaya)
Lineage: Eukaryota; Viridiplantae; Streptophyta; Magnoliopsida; Brassicales; Caricaceae
Description: long non-coding RNA (CPAP_LNC002397)
Source: RNAcentral
CCCCCAAAACUUGAAAAAAAUAAUUUUAUCUUUUGGCAUGGGCGAUUUGGUCUCAGCUUGGCUCCCAGUCGCCUCCUCUUAGUCACUCCGCAGUCCUUUAGCUCCUAAAUUUGCACACGCACACACAUGAACACUCGUUUAGUGAAAAACACAAAUCGAAAAAAGAAAAAGAACACACCUAACUGGGGUGUGGUGCUCGAAAAUCUAAAUAGCCUCGGGUUGGGAUUCUGCCAUCACACGGUGCUCCUCAACCGUGAUUCCCUUUCUUUUUCUUCCUCAUCCGCGAUUCUCUCUCUCUCCUCUCACCUUGCGCGACCGUUCUCAGCUUUCCUUCCUCCCACUCGACCACU